UAAAUUCUGACGGCACUGCGAACUCAUAAGAUGAUAAGUACUGGUUGAUUCCCGGAACUGUUAACUUGAAGGCGUCACCGGAAUUAUCAACCAGUCCCUUUUGGAAAUACUAUUACCAUAACACAUUAUGAGUGUUUAAGUAUGAUACCAUGCUGUGAUCAAAAUCCAUAAAACUUCUCUUAGUAAUAAAUCUUAAUUCUAUCUUAUCCUGGUAAUGUAUGGUUACAUUUGUAGGUUAGUUACUAUAAAUUCGGACAAAUUUGGAAGGCCGUUUGGCAAUGUGGGGAAUUACAUAA
Molecule: long non-coding RNA, 296 nt
Filed under: Mytilus galloprovincialis (Mediterranean mussel)
Lineage: Eukaryota; Metazoa; Mollusca; Bivalvia; Mytilida; Mytilidae
Source: RNAcentral